CUUACCUCUGGCAGUUUAACAGGUGGGAUGUGUAGGAUGGCAGCCACAGAGCCAGAACAUCCUUGCUGUGACCAGCCCAUGGUACUCAGAUGGUAACAGGCUGCUAGACCAUAAUCUCCAGUUUCUACAAGGACUCCAUUUACUCUGUCUUCACAGAUGGUAGAAACAGACAAGACUACCAUCACUCUAGGAGGAAGGCAAGCUUUGCAUCACGUGGACCAGGAGUCAGUGAAAGGUUAAUCAGGUAUUCCUUUAGUUUGUGUGUGCUUCCAAAUCAGUCUCUCUUUUUGUGUCCUUUAUGCUGCAUACAUACCGUGGGG
Molecule: long non-coding RNA, 320 nt
Filed under: Cyanistes caeruleus (blue tit)
Lineage: Eukaryota; Metazoa; Chordata; Aves; Passeriformes; Paridae
Description: lncRNA (ENSCCEG00000023529.1)
Source: RNAcentral